UGGAAGUAAAAAGUCGUAACAAGGUUUCCGUCUAGCUGAACCUGCGGAAGGAUCAUUAAUGAAUUUUGAAAGGGGUUGUAGCUGGCCGUCUCUUUGGGGCGGCAUGUGCACGCCCUGAUCACUAUCCAUCUCACACACCUGUGCACACACUGUAGGUUGGCUUGUGAUUGGAGCUACAGUCUUCAUUGACUCUGCUCUGGUUGGAGGCCCUCCUAUGUAUUAUCACAAACUACUUCAGUUUAAAGAAUGUACUCUUGCGUCUAACGCAUUUAAAUACAACUUUCAGCAACGGAUCUCUUGGCUCUCGCAUCGAUGAAGAACGCAGCGAAAUGCGAUAAGUAAUGUGAAUUGCAGAAUUCAGUGAAUCAUCGAAUCUUUGAACGCACCUUGCGCUCCUUGGUAUUCCGAGGAGCAUGCCUGUUUGAGUGUCAUGGAAUUCUCAACUCUAUUUGCUUUUGUGAAUAGAGCUUGGAUUUGGAGGUUUAUUUGCUGGUACUUGUGAUCGGCUCCUCUUGAAUGCAUUAGCUUGAACCUUUGCGGAUCAGCUAUCGGUGUGAUAAUUGUCUACGCCGUUGCAAUGAAGCAUAUCAAUGGGCUCGGCUUCCAAUCGUCCUUUACUGGACAAUGACUUUGACCUUUGACCUCAAAUGCAGGUAGUGCCCAUUACCUCGCUGAACUUAAGCAUAUCAUAAGCCCGGAAGGAA
RNAcentral lists this ribosomal RNA (704 nucleotides) under Basidiomycota sp. SF1. RNAcentral's name for it is "eukaryotic LSU rRNA". The stretch from base 278 to 431 matches the Rfam family "5.8S ribosomal RNA". The record is from RNAcentral. Lineage: Eukaryota; Fungi; Basidiomycota.